AAAAGCAUCCUAAUGAUAUAUUAAUCUCAAAAAAAGGGGGAUAUGGCGAAAUUGGUAGACUUUGAGUAAGAGGAAAAUCCGUCGACUUUAAAAAUCGUGAGGGUUCAAGU
This 110-nucleotide transfer RNA is filed under the name Securigera varia. RNAcentral's name for it is "tRNA-Leu". Lineage: Eukaryota; Viridiplantae; Streptophyta; Magnoliopsida; Fabales; Fabaceae. The record is from RNAcentral.